Non-coding RNA from Podarcis lilfordi (Lilford's wall lizard), 15325 nucleotides. Lineage: Eukaryota; Metazoa; Chordata; Lepidosauria; Squamata; Lacertidae. The record is from the annotation of a GenBank genome assembly.
UGUCAUUUCUUUGGUCUUGCUGUGGACUCACCACGCAAGUGCCUUCUGCUAUCCGGAGAGCAGAAUAAACUCUUUCUUUGAACCAACUCGGUGUCAUUUUGACUUCCUUCCUCCUGUCACGGAGCAACGCAGACCCAAUCGGUGAACUCCAAUAAGGCUACAGUAGGACCCACUAUUGCUCUCAUCUGCUCAACCCGCCAGAGCCUAUCUUCACAUGCAGGGAAGUCCCUAACUCACCAAAGGUUUGAGACCGAUUGGCUACCCUCCCCUGGUUCAGCUGAACAAUGAAAGCCUGAUACUCUGAACUGUCAAGCUGUGCGUGCCUGUAAGCUCCCAACUCUGAUCUGUGAAGAAGGAGGGGUAGGGAAACACUACCCACUGCCUUGAGGGACGUCUUCAGGAGAAGAAAAGGCUGAAUAGUAAACCCUACACAAAUCCAGAGUGGAGUCCUUAAGAUGGUUGGAUGGCACCUUGUACGCCUCCUUCCGACAACUCCUGUAGCCAAACAUAUUGCUCUGCUUUCCUUUGGACCACAUCAGUGAGGCCAAAAGGAGAGUUCUUGUCAUCUGGGCAGCCCAGGACCUCUACCUCCACCCACCCCCCAGAGGUGCUCCGUCUCUUGAGACAGAUGGAUGCCAAGAAAAAGGGGAACCUUGUUUACUUACAUUGCAGCACGACAGAGGCAAGCAUGUUAAUGAUGAACAAUGAAUAGUCUACCACUAGUUCUUUGGAAAAUAGUAGACUGGCUUGCUGGUUUCCCUCCAUCUUGGUAUAGAGUCUCAGUAAGUAAAUGCUCUUAGCUGGCCACUUGCCUUGAUUGCUGGCCAGUAGUUCCUGCUGACAGUUAUGCCACUGUGCAAAGAUUGGGCCCAAAAUAAGCAACUGUAGCCUAUUCUAAAAUUCAAUCCUCCCUUCUGUUUGCACUGGAUUUUUGUGGGUAUUUGCUGACAGAUGUUCCAGCUGAUUUAUGGUAUUAUUAUACUAGUGAUAUAACACAGUGGGGUGCACUGUGGUUGUCUGCGUGAUUGAUGCAGCAGAUAAACAUAAAGUGUUUGAUUACAGAAAGUAUUUUGAUUUCAGAGAAAUUUGAGAAGCAAGAAAUUACUUAGAAAAAACUGAAAGACUAUACCUAACUAAAAGCACAACAAUGUAUUGUUUCAAUGCAUUUCUUCCACUAAAUUGGUGUUGAAUUGGCAAUAGCUUUUCUGCCUAUUUGAAGGGGUGUGUGUAUUUAUACAUGUGUGUGUGUGUGUGUUUUGGCAUCCAUCUGUCUCAAGAGACAAUGGAGUGCACCUCUGGGGGUAAAGCCAAACUGCUGUGUUAGCAGCCCCAGAGUGACCUUCCAUGGUGUGCAAGUGUGGGCCGUGUGUAUGGGGGUCCUGGGCUGCCCAGAUGAUAAGUCCCCUCUCGGCCUUGCUGAUGUGGUCCAAAGAAAAUCAAAGAAAUCAGAGAAAUACCUUGUGCACCAGCUGGGCGGCAGGUGUUGCCAGAAGGGGGCAUACCUGGCGCCAUCUAACCCUCUAAGGGACUCCACUCUCGAUUUACGUAGGGUUUAUUUCUUAGCCAUUUAUUCUCCCAACGAUAUUCCACAAGGUAGCAGAGGCUUAGGAUCAGAAUUUUCCUUCUCCUGGAUUGGCCACCUUCCCAAGUUGAUGAGCCCAUCUGCCCCUCACUUCCCUCUACAGCACAUGCAGAAACCACCUUCUUAACUGUGGGAACCACUGUUGGUCUCAUAUGCUCAAUCCACCAAAAUAUGCCUUCACGUAUAUUUAUAUGGAUAUGUGGCAGACCGUAUUAGAUAAGUAUGUAUUUUACAAAGGAAGAGAGAAACUAUUUAGAAUCUACAUGAUCAGUGAAAAAUGUCUCAAGGGGGUUUAAGAUGUCCGUGAAAUAUUGAUAAUAUGAGAAGCGUAGAACAGGUUUAAAAGCUUUGAAAGCAACCUUUGCAUUGUCCUUGCAUUAAGAAACCUGGAUUUGUGUCCCCCAGGGCACCCAUGAGAGCAUCGACUAAAAAAGGGAAUCACAACAGUUCUUACUGCCCAUCAACAGAAGCAUAAAAGUUUUUAUUGUUAUGAAAGCUGGAGACCCUUCUUUUAAUCUCUGUGGGAUGGUUUUCAGAAAGUCAGAGACCACUUUGACCACUUUGUUUGUGUAUGCCAAUCAAAUUAUGAAGGCUUAGAAGAAUAACAGUAACAAAACAAAACAAAACAAAACAAAGGAAGGCUAGAUUUGUCUGCUUUGGGGGACCUUUCCUCCAGAUUUAGAGAAAAGGGGUGAACUGCCAGGCAUGGAAAGAAGAUGAGUGACGCUGCAAUUUAGUUAUUAAUUCACAACAAACAAUUUAAAGAAAAGUUAAUAUACUGCAUGCUCUUAUAAGGAAUGCUUUUUUAUCUGAAUAAGCAUGUGUGAGCCAGACAUUAGUAACCACAUAUAACAGGAGUAUACAAAAUAUUUUAAUAAUUAAAUAAUCCUUGGGGCUUCUUGAAAGGUUUUCUGAAACUUUAACUUCCCUGAAACUCAGCUGUCAUCAGUCUCCUCUUAUGAUGUAUUUGAUGUCUUCUGGGGUGUUUUCUAAUAAAGAGACCACAAAAGUGAGUCUCAUGGUGAAUGUUCAAGCUAUAACACUUCCCCAAAUUCUCUGGAAUGCACAGAGAUUUCAGGCCAUUGCUCCAGCAGGGGAUAGGGCAUAGAAGGAAGACACUUCAUCCAUGCCUUAAGAACCAAGGGCCUGUGCUUUGGUCUCCAUAAAGUGUGUGUGUGUGUGUGUGUGUGUGUGUGUGAGAGAGAGAGAGAGAGAGAGAGAGAGAGAGAAUUUGAUUGGCAUACACACACACACACACACACACACACACACACUGGCCCCAGGGACAGGGAACACUGUAUGAAGGGCAUUUUGUGCAGAAAUACAAAUCAGACAGGCAGAAACAUGGCAUAAAACAGUUGCCUAAGGAAGCUAAAAGUGCUGAGAGCUGUAAGGAGACCCUUAUCCUCACAGACCUAUAAUUCUCAGUUUUCUGGAAAGAGGGAUUCAGGAGGGGUAAGAGGAGUUACGCCUGUGAAUUUCCUUAAAAAUAACUCAAAAACUUCAUUUUUUUUGAGAUUUUGGCUUUUAAUGAAAGGGCUGGUGCCAUGCUGUUAUUAUUGUAAUUAUUUGUAUGACUUUAAAUAUACAGUAUUUCAUACAGGUAUACAGUUUUAAUUGUUUUCUAUGAUUGUUUUUUUUGAUAUUUUUAGCAGUUCUUAUUUUUAACUGUAACCCACAUUCAGUCUCAUCAGGGAAAAGGGUGGGGUUAAUAAUAAUAAUAAUAAUAGUCGUCUCCUAACAACUCUCAGCACCCUUAACAAACUAAAGUUCCCAGGGGUCUUUGAGGAAAGCCAUGACUGUUUAAAAUGGUAUGUAUAGUACAGGUUGUGCAUAUGAUGAUAACUUUUAAACUUGAGUUGCCUUGGUUACACUACCUGAUUUUGGCUGGUGCGUGAGCUUUGGUUGCUGGUGUUGGAAUUUUGCCUCCUCCAGACUGUGUUAUCUCCGGCUCCUACAGAUGAAGAGCCAGUACUCCUUUGGACCUGGAGGACUGUUGAGGGUUGACCCUGGACAAACCGUGACUGGUGCCUACUGUGGAAGCACAACGUACAUCCUGCACCAAUCUGUGUCUUUUUCCCACCAGCACCAGUAGCAGCUAAGAACAUGGAGUUCUUUCACACCUGUACCUUCUUAUAGUGGCCACAUAUCUUUUGUUUUUAUAGGUCCCUGGACAAACCUAGACAGCUUUAGAGAGAAAUCUAUUAUUGCUUUAAGGUUUACAAACUUGUUAUGCAUCAUUCUUCUUCAAUUCAUUUAACACUUGCCGACAAUUUUUUAUUAUUUUAUUUUCUGCUAGAGUUAUUUUUAAUUCAUUUCUGCUUGUGGGGAAUACGUUGAUGCUAUAUGUAUGGUUGCAAGAUUAAUUUCAUUUUAACUUCCUCAUUCUGAUUGUUAGCAAUUCAUUAUGGCAAAUUCUACUUAGAAUUGGGAAGGUCCUAUAAGUGGUUUCAGUCGGAAUAUUUUGUUUUCCGGUUGGAAGAUGUCAAGUUUAGAGAUAAUUUUAUGCAAAGGUUAGAACAUUCUGUUCUUGAAUACAUAAAGCAGGGCUGCCAUUCAAUAUUUCAGAAUUCAUAUAUAGAAAUGUAGAGCAAAUAAAACUGUCAUCUCAUGUCUUUGAGGGAGAGAUUUUUAAUUUUAAAAAAUGCAGUUAAACUAUCCUGUUUUUGAUGGUAAGCGUGAUUACUUUGGAGUUCACCUAUCUUUUCCUUUACGUAAUUUCACAAAACUUAAAACAUAUUUCUAGCUUGGUUCAGAUUUUAAAUGAAUAAGGGAUAAUCAAAAAUAGUGAGUCAGAGCAGAAAAAGACAUUACUGUGUAAAAAUCAAAAAUUAAAUUGUUCCAGGAAACAGGAACACUAUCUUAAUUUCCCCUUCCUCCUCCAUAUUGUAGCCACUUUCACAGUGAAAUAAAAAAGGAACUGCAUCACCAAGGGCCUGCUGCAUAUUGAGUGGUUCUCAACACCACCUGCCCUGUGAGAAGGAAGACCAGAGCAAGGCAGGCAAGGGCCAUGGCAGGACCUGAUCCAGUUGGACUGUCCCCUCCCACUGCCAAGGAUAGGGCCAUCUUAAGCAUACCCAGCACUGUGGUGCAACACUCCCUCUGGCACCCCCCCCCCCGUUUCCCAGUUGUUUAGGGAGGGCUGGAGGAGGCGGGCAGCGGCUGGAGGGCGGUUGCUCUGAUAGGGAAGAGGAGGAGGCUGGAUGAAGCCUCCCAGCUCAGCUGGCCGCUUUGUGCCACGGUGGCCACGGCAGACAGAGGCUUCGGGGGAGAUAAUGGAGGCAUAUAAUUUGGAUAAGAAAAUAGGCUUCCAAGAGGAAAAGUCAAAAUUAGAAACAGAAUUGUUAGAACCCAAAACUAAAAAUUUGUCAAGAAUGUAUAACUUGCUGUUGAAAUGGAAUACUCAGGAUGAAACGGUGAAAUCUGCUAUGAUUAAAUGGGCACAAGAUGUUGGCCAUAAUAUUAUGUUUGCUGACUGGGAACAGUUAUGGACCACAGGUAUGAAGUUUACGGCAUGUAAUACCUUAAGAGAGAAUAUUAUGAAAAUGAUAUACAGGUGGUACAUGACCCCAGUCAAGCUUGCAAAAAUUUAUCAUUUGCCCGAUAAUAAAUGUUGGAAAUGUAAAGAAACUGAAGGUACAUUCUUUCACCUUUGGUGGACGUGCCCAAAGAUUAAGGCUUUCUGGGAAAUGAUAUAUAAUGAAAUGAAAAAGGUAUUUAAAUAUACCUUUCUGAAGAAACCAGAGGCCUUUCUCUUGGGCACUGUCGGCCAACUGGUGCCAAAGAAGGACAGAACCUUUUUCAUGUAUGCUACAACAGCAGCAAGAAUACUUAUCGCAAAGUAUUGGAAGACACAAGAUCUACCCACUUUGGAAGAAUGGCAGAUGAAGGUGAUUGACUACAUGGAACUGGCGGAAAUGACUGGCAGAAUCCGAGACCAGGGAGAAGAGUCGGUGAAAGAAGACUGGAAGAAAUUUAAGGACUAUUUACAGAAAUAUUGCAAAAUUAAGGAACUUUAGAAGGAUGUUGGAUAGAAACUAAGAGGUUUUUAGCUGUAAUGCUUUAAGAGACAUGGAAAAAAGGUUAACAAUUGGGUAAAAGAUUAAUGGUAAGGAUUUGCUGAACCAACAAAUUGAAUUGGAAUACAAAGAAGGGAGGUAUGAGGAGGUCCGGGAAAUAAGAGUAAGGAAGAUAGGUUAUGGAACAUUAUUGUGUUUUUAACUGUUUUAUUUUGUAUGUUUUUUUUCUUAUUUUUUACUGUUUUUGUUAUAUCUUAAAACUUUAUACUUUUUCUUUAUUCUGUACUUUCAUGUAUCUUUAAUAAAUAUCAUUUAAAAAAAAAAAAGACAGAGGCUUCGGGGGGUGGUGCUGGUUUGGCACGGCAUGGUGGAGGCGGGCAAGGGCAGCGAGCUGAUGCUGGGAGAUGCCGUGUCCAGCCUCCACCUCUUCCCUGGCACCCUCCAGGCCCUGGCGCCCUGCGCCACUAGCCUCUAUGGGUAAGACGACCCUGGCCAAGGAAAUUGGAAACCUUUUGUAAGGACACCAGAAGAUGAGGUAACGAAACCAUAUUGAGUGGGGGGGUAGGAAAGGGGCUUCUGUUUCCUGUAGCAGCCAGUAGCACCAUCAGGACAAGGCUUGGGGGCAGAAAUCUAGGUCCCAUUCAGCAGAAUAAGCAGGAUGGCCCAACUUAGCACAUCUUGGAACAAAACUUCAGUGCAUGUUUCUGCGUAUUAUUUUGUGAUUUUAAGUGUCUACAUACUUAAAGAUGCAAACCUAUACAUGCUGACCUUGGGAAAAGACCCAUCAGAUUCCAUCCCAGCUGGUCUUUAUCAGAACUUUUGAAAAUUUUAAGAACUGCUGCUUAGGUUUGCUUUCUUCCUCUAGGAGACUUUUGAGCUGAAGGGUGGGUGAGUAGGGAGUAAAAUCCUUAAAUAAAUAAUAUUGAGUGUGUUUGGUUUUCAGACCAUUUCCCAGGAAGCAACAGAUUCUUGGGAAGCUUUGAUUAGAAUAAUUAGCAAUACCUUUACCCAGUGCUUCUGAUCUGUCCCUGAAAUGCCGGACAAGAGAAAUAUUGUGUGUGUGUGUGUGUGUGUGUGUGUAGGAUCUUCUCUCAGGCCACUGUUGAUGAAGGUGAGGCUCCAAUACUGUACUAUAGCAACCUAUUGACAUGGGUGCAGCCAGCAUUUUUCGUUGGGGGGGGCACCCAAAGUUGCUGAAGUUUUUUUAGGAAAUCAAAGUUGUUGAAGUUUAUUUGCCCCCUCCCCAGGCUGUGCUCAUGCAUAUUGUGCACCCCUUUAUUUCUAUGAAGUAAAGACAAACUUCAGUAUUAAAAGUUUUGAAACUCAGAAAACAUUGGUUAUGAACCAUGUCAAAUAUUAAAUCGGCACACCAAGUAUUACAAUGGAUAUUUCAUAUUACAAUGGAUAUGAGGGACGUGGGUGGUGCUGUGGUCUAAACCACAGAGCCUAGGGCUUGCCAAUCAGAAGGUCGGCGGUUCGAAUCCCCGUGAUGGGGUGAGCUCCCGUUGCUCAGUCCCUGCUCCUGCCAACCUAGCAGUUUGAAAGCACAUCAAAAGUGCAAGUAGAUAAAUAGGUACUGCUCCGGCGGGAAGGUAAACGGCGUUUCUGUGCGCUGCUCUGGUUCACCAGAAGCGGCUUAGUCAUGCUGGCCACAUGACCUGGAAGCUGUACGCCGGCUCCCUCGGCCAAUAAAGCGAGAUGAGCGCCGCAACCCCAGAGUUGUCUGCGACUGGAACUCAUGAUCAGGGGUCCCUUUACCCUUUACCUUACAAUCGAUAUCAAAUACAGAUACCCAAUAUUCAGAGAAUAUUUGACUACUGGAGCAGAGGUGGAUUUAGGACCGUGCAACUGGUUCCCUCACACAGGGCGCUGAGCUGAUGGAAUUGUGGAUAAGCCCAGAUGCUUACUUGGAAAUAAAAAUAUACUCUCAACGGACAGAUGAAUACAGAGGGUGUAAGUGCAUUUACAGUGGUUCUGCAUUGGACAGUUGCCAGACUUCUUCAAGUUCCUAUAUUAACCCCCUGCAAAGCAGACAUAAUUGGUUUAUUAUUAAUAACAUGUUCCCAGUUACAUAGGGUAAAGAACUAAGCCAUGUUCCAGGCAAGUUAGGCGUACGGAAUAGCAGAACUGGAAAGUGAGUGUUGGCUAAUACACAAUAUCCAGCAUGAUGUUAAUUCUACAUAUGAUGACAUAAGAAUAGGAUUGCACAUUAUUACAAUUAUUAUUCUCCCCUAUGCUAAUGCCUAGAUUACUGGAAUAACAUGUUUUUGUUUUGUGAUAUUCUUUUACCUUAUCUUAUUUUAUUUCAUGCAUAGCCCAUCUUUCCCCCAAGAACUCAAGGUGGUGCAAAUGGAUCUCCCCCGAUCCUGCCCAUUUUAUCCUCACCAUCACACUGUGAGAUAACUUAGGCUGACAUAUAGUGACUGACCCAAGGACACCCAAGGAAGUUUCAUGGCUGAGUGGAGAUCUGAACCUGGGUUUCCUAGUCCAACGCCUUAUCAUUACGCCACACUGGCUUACUUAGGUAAGCUAACACAUUUCUUUCUUUGGCAUCCUGGCCUGAAGUGCAUGCAGUUUCCCCCUUUGAAUGGCAGUGCAGAUUUUGUAAAUCUGCUGGUGCCUAAACUUUGUCUAGUUGCUAUCUCUCAACUCAACCUCCCUCACAGUGUUCUUUUGAGUACGAGCUGCAUAUGACGUCUUGACAUCAAUGGAGGGAGACGGGGAUACAAAUGUGAUGAUGAUGGUAGUGCUUUGCACCACGCCCAGGCCUCUUUGGGCUCCAAGUGAGAGGGAAAGGGAAAAAAUGGUAAAGGCUGAAAUUUUGUAUCUCAGAGAACAUAUGGCAACUGAAAGAAACAGCAGCAACAGCCUUGUGUCUCUUUCCCUUUAAACAUCGUGUGUAUCACAGCAAAUGGACACCAUUUUAUUCUGCAUUUCCAUGUUCCCUUUCAAAUGGGAUGUGGAAAAGCUACAGGAAAAUGAAAAAUGUGAUUACUCUGCAUCUUAUUACAGUGACUCCUCUUUCAUAGUCACUGAAAUGUUCUGUAUAUGUGUUUUAUGUAGCUAGAGAAUUGUAAGGAGCAGAUAAAGGCCGCCUUACUUUUAUAAGUAAUAAUUUCAUGGUUAUGAUGGCCCUCUGGUGGGAGAUCAGAUAUGUCCAAAGACAUUGAAGAUAACUGCAACUGGGAAAACUGGGAGGGCACAAUCCCCAUGCACUGCAACCCAUGUUCUCCCAUGAGUCUGGGCCAGGAGGAAAGAAAAUGGCAUUUAGUUUGAAGAUUUCCCUAAUUAGCUAGGAGCCCCGGGAGUUUUUCUGCCUUUGGUAAUACCCAUUGGGUUGAUCUCAUCCUGCCUUUGUGAUUUUCAUUAGUUAUCUUGAUGUGAUUGUUGGUUUUGGGGGAACAAAUAAAUCUUUCCUUGCUGCUGACUAUUGACAGGCAAUUUCUUCCCAGGGUGCCUUAUCCAUCCUAAGAUGCAUUUUAGGUGUGAGUUUCCUGCUGUCUAGCCUGAUUGCCUGUUAUUUUGCUUUGCUAAUCUAGGAGCCAUGAAGAGAAGUCCAUAAAUAGGUAUUCUCUCUGCAUGUAGUUUUAACGUGUUCUUUAAAAAAAGGAAGGGAGGAAUUGCAUUGGCCUGAGGGCCCGAGAAAGCAAACUCCAUCAUCAAACCAUCUAUUUACAUAACUGCUAGCACUUUACAUUUUUCAAUUUUACCUGACUAUAUAUAAAAUAUAUGUGUUUUUACUGCCAAGCUAACAUGAAAUGAUAAAGAAAUAAAAUGCUGAUGGAAAAUCAAGGUAUUAAAUUCUUCAUCAGAUGGCAGAAAAAAUGAAAAAGUCAGAGGAGAGUUUAUUUUGUUUCCUUAAGGGAUUUCAAAGAAGAAGAAAAUAGAACUAACAGGCAUGUCUUAACUCCAGGGCGUUUCAACUCUUGGAUCUAAAAAGAUAACAGAUUCAUGUAUAGUUUCAGGAAAUGCAUCCACUGGUGUAAUUGGAUGGACUUGCUGAACAACACAAGAUCUUUAGGAUCUUGACUGAUUUCCAUAUGGUUAUAAUUUAGGGAAGAUGUCAUAUUACUUUUAUGUGAAUCUUGCAGCUAAGUGUCCCGAAUUCUUUUACAGUUGCUGGUUGCAAUAGAGAAAUGCAGAGGGAAGGCUGCAAGAACAGAAAAACAGUGACUUCACAAACAAGGAGAAACAAAGGGAAGAAGGGGAUUUGCCAACUUGGCUCAGGAGCAAACUAGACAUGAAGUUAACCCAGUGAAUGCAAUUAACACACCUAUCUUUUAAAAUGUAAACAUAAGAUGAUAGAACAAUAGAGUUGGAAGGGAUCCUGAGGAUCAUCUAGUCCAACCCCCUGCAAUGAAGGAAUCUCAACACGCUGGUCCCCAUCUAGUUUGAUCAUAGCACACUCUGCUUGAUUUUGCAAAUGUGCACCCUCUGCAGGUGCUGCAGAGAGUGAUUUGGUGUUUAUACACUGGUGUGUGGGAAGACUCUGCUCUCCCAAUGUCAUGGUCCUAAUGAAGCUGUCUUUGCCCUAGGAGGGAAGCAGCUUUUGGCUCUAGUGGACCAAAAAGUGGUCUAUAAAUGAGCCACAGAACAGCAGCUGGUGACAGUUUUCUGAAGGAGGACUGCUGCUACUGAGAUCAGCACAGUGGAACAGAACUUGCCCACUUGCCAAGUAUAGAAGCCGUUGUGAACUUCUAUCUGUGCUUUGCAUACGCACAAACACACCCACACCAGGACAGAAGAAGGCUUCUGUGUUUUUCAUGUGAACCACCAUUCAAAAUCUUAUCCCAAAAACUCCAUUUGAAGUGAAAUGGAUGAGACGUCCUGCGAUGACAGAUAUUUAGUCUUUCAAGAUCUGUUCAUGUGGAUCAUGUUUAAUAUUGCUUAAUUAUAAAUCUUUUUUUAAAAAAAUAGAUUUUUAUUGAUUUUCCAAUAUCAUUCCAAUAACAGCCUCAUUAUCUCUUAUCUCAUUGUAUCUGGCACACGCCUGUAAUUUACUCCAAUUAAAGUCCAAUUAACAGGAUAACCUGUGCUUCCAGGAACGGGAUUGUGGGUGGGUGCCCCAGAGUGGCUGGGCAACCCAGUCAGAUGGGCAGCAUACAAAUAAGAUCAUCAUCAUCAUCACUAUUUAGAUUCGUUUUACUUUUUUUCUUGUCAUAAGGACAUGUGAGGCUCAUCAAGUGAAAAGUUUAGGGUGCCAAAACAGUGAUUCUGAUUAAAAAGGGGUUUAAUUCCAGGAAGAUGAAUCUGUGGCCCUUCAGAUAUUGCUAGACUACAACUCCCACUAUCCUUGACCAUUCCUUGCUGGGGUUGAUGGGAGUCCAAAAACAUAUGGAGGGCUGCAAGCUCCUUGUCCCUGACUUACUUUACAUAGUAAGAUUUCCUCACAAAUCUUCCAGGUUUGAUAUCAGAGUUAGUACUGAUUAGCUGAACAUUGCAAGCUGGGGGUGUAUAUGGUAGAGCCCAUUCCAGUCCCCUCUGCUAUUAUUUUUAACCCACCCAAGGCAUAGAAGUCAAAUGAUGCUCUUGUAAUUAACUCAGCCCUUGGCCUUGAACUAAAAGGUGCACUAAUUGCAGAGACUUUUCUCCUGGCGUCAUUUCAUUUUUGUACUUUUAAUCUUUCCCAGUCCUUCAGAAACAAAUAACAAGUGGGUCAAAAAGAGUUUGAAGCUAUGUAAGAUUUCUUUUCGCAUGGAAAUUUCAGAGAGACAAAACACUCACACUCUCUUUUUAAGUUCCUGCUUCAAAUGCAGCCUUUGUCUUGGGACCUGUGUGCGAUUGCCACUAAAGAUGCAUGAAGAAAUUGGUCUUUAUUAAUUCCUCAGUGAAUUGACCUGAGCUGCAUUUCUUGGAGUGAUGUGUGGAUGAGAACUUAUUUAUCCAUCCAACUUCACACUUAGUUCUUAGCAGAAAAGCAUAUCAAAAUGCUUCUCUGCACAUUGUGGAUGGUAAAAUCUAGGAGGAGGAGGUUGACUAGAUUGGUCUAGGGAGCAGUUAAAGCCUCACUAUAUGGGGGAGUUCUCCUUGGUCUAUCAGUAGAUUUGACACCACUGGAAUUACUCAGGGUGGUGUAUGAUGCUUGUUGGGAAAGCUCAGAAACAACAUAAAUGGGAUCCAUCACCAAAAUUAAGCAGUUUAAAUGUAUAGGUAUCAACUUCACUAUUUUAGGAUCCUUUAAAGCAGGGGUGGGUAAGGUUUCUAAGCUUGAGGGGCACAUGCCAUUGGUAGAUGUGUUUAUUGAGUGUUUCAGGGGUUUUGUGGUUUUUUAUUGUUGCAAAAUAUAUUGGACAUUGCAAUGGAUCAUGAUAUUUAUUUAAAGUGAUGUCACUUUACUAUUUCACUGUUGUAUAACUGAUGGCCUUUGGCUAAAGCAAUAAAGAUAUGGAUUUGGAAAAGUAUUCAGCAACACGGCAGUGGGCAGGGUUCCUGCAUUGCAGGUUUGGACUAGAUGAACCUUGGGGUCUCUUCCAGCUCUACAAUUCUACGAUUCUAUUAUAUUAUUCUAUUCAAAUGAUGAAUAUUACUGUAAGAAAGUAAUGAUUAGAUGGCACAAGUCACCAGAUAAUAUCAGAAUCUGCCUUCAAAUUCAGAUAGAAGGACUGUUUGAGACUUGCUCUAGUCUUCCACUAAGCUUCGCUUUCAUAUUCUCCCUUCUACCUUGAUAUAGACAUUGAGGUUUUUCCUGCCCCUCUCUAAAGUAUCCCACAUGAGAUCUAUUCAUUACUCAUGCUUUUCCUUUGCAUAUGGUGCCUUCUUCUGCCAUAUGUUCAUGCCAAGAUUGCAUGGCCAUGGAAAGGUCCUGCAGACAUGUAAUUCCUUCAACCUUCAUGCCCUUCCUCCUCAUCCCAGUUUUCCAUGACUAUCUUUAGGAAAUGAUGUUAUAAAUUAGGUGUUCUCCCUUGGAAGUGAUUUGGGGCCCACUGUAUCUUCCUCAAUUAUUGUCCAUAUGCUUUCUUGUGCUGACUCUUUAAGGCACAGCUCCUGUGGCCCCCAUGCUAAGCUGCUUCUGAAUGAGACGGGGAAAUGGUGUUCUAAUUCACAUAUACGCUUCCAUGUCAGCCUCUCUAAUGGUUCCCUUGGUGACAGUAAGUUUGAAUUUUCAAUCAGUUCUCUGGCAUGGUGCUUCAAAAUUUGUUUAGAUGAUUGUUUAGCACAGACCUAAUGAGCGCAGUCAGGCUUGUAAUGGAAAAAAGAGUUUAUUGAGCAGACAGAUCUCAUGAGUUGGAAGAGAUUUUCUGGCCUUUGGUCAGGCCUUAACAGGUCAGGAAAUGUUAGUUCCAGCUUUGAUUGGGACGUAUUUUGUUCCCCUUCCCUUUCACUUUCUAUUUGCUGCACCACUGUAAAACAAAUGUACCUGUAUGAUGUAAUGUAUCCUGCAUGAAUUGCAGCUGGAAGGGUCCAAAUCCCAGAAUUAGCUUGUUGGGGCCAACUAUGGAGAAGGUAGCUGAUCCCACUCAAGGAUACCCCGCUGCCACCCAGAUUAAAAAAAACAGGAACAAGCAAAGUACGCAGAAAUAAAGAAAAAUGGGCCUGAUCUGUCUUCCUUAAGCACCUCCCUCUCCUACUCUCACAUGUACAUAGGGAGCAGCAUUCAUCUCUGCAGGAGAGACUAUCUGUCCCAUGAAACUCAGCCAACUGGUGAAUACCAGGAAUAGGUAAAUCUGUCAAUUUAACAUUCUCUCCAUUUUGAAUUUUUCCAUUCUUAACUUAUGUUUUUCACAUUUUCACAUUAGUUUGUGAUUUUUUUAUGUCCUCAUGAAAAUUCAUCAACAUUCUAGUGCACUUUUCUCCUAAUAUACCAUUUUUCUUAGGAUUUUUUUUCCAAUCUAACAUUUUUGCAUUUCCCCUAAUAUAAAGCAUUCUUGUGUGAUAUAUUAACUAAUAUAUUCAUCUUGUGCCACACUUUUUCCUAGUACAGGCAUGGUCAAACUUGGCCCUCCAGCUGUUUUGGGACUAUAAUUCCCAUCAUCCCUGACCACUGUUCCUGUUAGCUAGGGAUGAUGGGAGUUGUAUUCCCAAAACAGCUGGAAGGCCAAGUUUGGCCAUGCCUGUCCUAGUACAUGCAUCCUAGUACUCAAUACUUGGCCUGAGAACCUGUUUGCAAAUGUGAAUUUCAAAGGAUGAUUGUGUUUCAGUUAUCAUUUUGUUUCUGAAAGUACAAAUUAAGUAGCUUCACUUUUAAAUGUGAACUGAUUUGAAAUCUUCCCCAUCCCUAGUGGAUACUGCUCAAAGGAAGCUGUGUGAGAGCAACAAUUUCCAACUUAGUUGAAGCAUUAUUGCUGGUGGUUCUCAGCAUGUGAAGUCUUGACAUGAGCCGACUCUCCACCCAGAUGAAAGAAUUGCAAUAUAACACAAUUAUUUCAGCAGUUGCAUAAGGUCCUAGAACUCUAUAAUUCUAUGAUUCUGUGGUGCAGGCUUUACUGGUUACAUCCUUUAAUCAUUGUUUAUUUACCUGUACUUUGUAUCUGUACUCCUUAAGUUAUUGAUAAAAGAAACAAUAGAAAACUAUUUGUAUAGUAACUUCCCAACUCUACCAUUGCCUGUUCACUGUGAAUUUGGCAAUUAAAGAGGCCUGGGUGCAAGUGAAGCAUGAACAGCAAGCUUUUUCUUUCAUAAACUGACAGCAUGAGCUCUCCCUCAUCUAGAAUGGGAACCUUGUCAGAGGUAAAGGGACAUGGCUCCAAUCAACACUGUCAAGACAUCUUCAAAAAGCUUUUGAUAAAGCCCUUCACCAAAGACUCCUAUGUAAGCUUAGCAUUCAUGGGAUAAGAGGACAUGUCCUUUUAUGGAUCAGUAACUGGUUUCCCUUAAGGGUGAUCCAGGAAUGUUGAUUUAUUAAUUUGAUCUACUGCAUUGUAAUGUAUUUUGCAUUUGUUUUACAGAUAUAAUUUCAUUCUUGAUUUUGUGCUGUUCACUACCAUGAUUCCCUACCUCAAAUAUGGCAGUAUAUAUAGUUGUGCAAAUAAAAUUAAUCAGUAAAACCUUUCCCAGGUUGUAUGUACACAAUGCUGACUGGAUCACCUCUGUCCAUAUGCUUGUUGAUGCUGUCAGAUAACCCUCCUACUGCUACCCCAUCCCAAGUUUCUCAACUAGAUCAGACCCAUCAUUCUUUCAAUUUGCAAAUGAAAAGUUCUGAUACAUUUGAUGAAUGUAACAUGGUGUCUGGCUUCUGUAGCAAGAAUUGAAGAGGCCUCCUAGAUAAGAAUGUAAAAUUAAACACCAUUGUCAAGAAUUCUUGUAUGUCUGUCCAUGUCCACCACUGCAUAUGAAUGUACAUACCUGGUGCAUCACACAGCAUCUUAAGCACAAAUUGGAACAUGGGUUCUUAAUACGAGAGAUUUUUAUUUUUUACAAGUGGUGUAUCAGUUUUAGAUUCUGCAACCUUCUAUAUGCUGAGAUUGUUUUAAAAGAUGUCUUUAUCCACAUAGGUGACCAUUGGGACUGGAUCUUUAGAUGCAAAAGCUUCUCUGCCGCUGUUUGAAAAAGAUCUCAAUCUACCGACUCUGCAGCCGCCUAGGCCUGCAAGCUCUGUUCUCUCCUCCAAUGUCAUAUUCCCUGGUUGCCUUCAAGAGCAGGGAGUAAAUCAUCCUUAGCCAGGUGCUAAUUGCUUUCAUGGUUUUCAUUAGGCAGACACCAGUGAAGCUGGAUUAUUUCUAAGGGGACAUUCCUAUUUUAUCAGAUCCAUAACACCCCUUUUCUGAUUAUGGGGAACUGUUGGCAG